Long non-coding RNA from Hemicordylus capensis (graceful crag lizard), 761 nucleotides. RefSeq lists it as uncharacterized. Lineage: Eukaryota; Metazoa; Chordata; Lepidosauria; Squamata; Cordylidae. The transcript has 3 exons. The record is from RefSeq and is a predicted model, not a curated record.
UCUAGAGAGGCCUCCUCCAUGUAGGCCUCCCUGAAGCCUGAACUCGAGUGCCGGAGGAAGGAAGGGAAGGAAGGAAGGAAGGAGGCAGGCAGAGUGGCCAGCGCUGGUUUUCUCUUGUCCACCACAGUUCUCUGAAGACCCAACUGCCCAGGCCAGGCCAGCCUUUGCCAGUAAUGGAGAUUGUGAGCCACUUUAGAACAGCGAGCCGUCUUCAGACCCUCUUGGGGCACGCAGUUUGUGGAGCAAGAUCCCUGGCGGAACAGAAGGUCUGCGCGACCGCGCAAGGGCGAGAACCACACAGAGCUGCACGGCAGCGCGGCCAUGAUAUACAAUCAAGCUAUACAGUCACUACCGCACAAUUCUGUUCCCACUGUUUUUGUGCUCGCACAACGGCGCUCCUGCACAAACGUCAUGUUCCGCCGCGGGCAUAAGGUUGCACAGUAUGCCAGGGAGAAGCAAAACGAAAGUCAGUAGCAGUGAACAACAGAAAGCCCAUGCCUAAACCUCUGCUGUGCUGCUACUGCUGCAGAAGCCAGCUGGAAAACGCCUCUUUGAGACAGGAGAGCAACCCGCCCCGUAGAACAUUUUACCUGCCAGCUCCUGCUGCCGCCUGCUCAGGCUUUUCCCUCUUGUUUUCAAGAACUUCAAGACCCAGCAAGCAGUGGCGUGUAGCUGCCAAGCUUCCAGGCAAGCAGAGGCGCAAAAGGCUUUGGGGGGCCACAAGAGGGCCGUAGAGGCUUACUUUUGAGACGAAUUGCUGA